UACGGAGGGUGCAAACGUUGCUCGGAAUCAUUGGGCGUAAAGCGCACGUAGGCGGUCUUUUAAGUCGGGUGUGAAAGCCCUCGGCUCAACCGAGGAAGUGCAUUCGAAACUGAAAGGCUUGAGUACGGAAGAGGGUCUCGGAAUUCCCGGUGUAGAGGUGAAAUUCGUAGAUAUCGGGAGGAACACCAGUGGCGAAGGCGGAGACCUGGGCCGAUACUGACGCUGAGGUGCGAAAGCGUGGGGAGCAAACAGG
Molecule: ribosomal RNA, 253 nt
Filed under: uncultured bacterium
Lineage: Bacteria
Description: partial 16S ribosomal RNA
Rfam family: Bacterial small subunit ribosomal RNA
Source: RNAcentral